Molecule: long non-coding RNA, 614 nt
Filed under: Sorghum bicolor (sorghum)
Lineage: Eukaryota; Viridiplantae; Streptophyta; Magnoliopsida; Poales; Poaceae
Description: long non-coding RNA (SBIC_LNC003288)
Source: RNAcentral
CACCAAGUGAAGAAUCUAGAUCUAUGAGCACAAACACACUGGAGAUAUUGGACACUCAGGCAAUGACUGCCCUGAGAUGCUUGAGGACGUAAACUACUUCAACAACAACUACUACUACAACCGUCCUCAACAAAAUCAAGGUUGGAAUCAACAGAGGCCAAACUACUUAGAGACAAUCCAGGACGCCCCGUCAUCCUGAUCUCCAUCGGCAUGGUGGACUUCCUAGAAGCACUCUGCGACUUUGGCUCCAGCCUCAACUUUAUGCUCAGGACUCUAAGCAGAUCAGGACAAGAACAAGAUGACGCAACUGCAACCAGAGGAGGAAAAUCAUCAAGGACGGAUGGGCAGAGUACGAAGGAGAAGUGCACCGAGGCAGGUGUGGAGAAAGAAGAUAGUUAUACAUGAAGAGUAUGCGCCGCCGGAACCACCGACUACGCCAUCUAGCGAAUCUAUUUUAAAAUAGUUUGCUUAGUUAAUCAAGUUCAUAUCAUCUUGAAAAGAAAAUAAAAAUGUUAAAAAUAGUAAGCCCCAUGUGAGUAUGCUCAUGGCAUAAAACCCAUAAGUACAUUCAUUGUGGUGGCAUAAAAAUAAAAUAAAUAUAUAUUCCUGUUGAC